CACUGGUGUUCGGGUUGUCAUGCCAAUGGCACUGCCCGGUAGCUAAAUGCGGAAGAGAUAAGUGCUGAAAGCAUCUAAGCACGAAACUUGCCCCGAGAUGAGUUCUCCCUGACUCCUUGAGAGUCCUGAAGGAACGUUGAAGACGACGACGUUGAUAGGCCGGGUGUGUAAGCGCAGCGAUGCGUUGAGCUAACCGGUACUAAUGAACCGUGAGGCUUAACCUUACAACGCCGAAG
Molecule: ribosomal RNA, 236 nt
Filed under: Escherichia coli
Lineage: Bacteria; Pseudomonadati; Pseudomonadota; Gammaproteobacteria; Enterobacterales; Enterobacteriaceae
Description: partial 23S ribosomal RNA
Rfam family: Bacterial large subunit ribosomal RNA
Source: RNAcentral